This 468-nucleotide ribosomal RNA is filed under the name uncultured bacterium. RNAcentral describes it as "partial 16S ribosomal RNA". It matches the Rfam family "Bacterial small subunit ribosomal RNA", at positions 28 to 507 of the family's 1533-position model. The record is from RNAcentral.
GACGAACGCUGGCGGCGUGCUUAACACAUGCAAGUCGAACGGAAAGGCCCUGCUUUUGUGGGGUGCUCGAGUGGCGAACGGGUGAGUAACACGUGAGUAACCUGCCCUUGACUUUGGGAUAACUUCAGGAAACUGGGGCUAAUACCGGAUAGGAGCUCCUGCUGCAUGGUGGGGGUUGGAAAGUUUCGGCGGUUGGGGAUGGACUCGCGGCUUAUCAGCUUGGUGGUGGGGUAGUGGCUUACCAAGGCUUUGACGGGUAGCCGGCCUGAGAGGGUGACCGGCCACAUUGGGACUGCGCUACGGCCCAGACGCCUACGGGAGGCAGCAGUGGGGAAUAUUGCACAAUGGGCGGAAGCCUGAUGCAGCAACGCCGCGUGCGGGAUGACGGCCUUCGGGUUGUAAACCGCUUUCGCCUGUGACGAAGCGUGAGUGACGGUAAUGGGUAAAGAAGCACCGGCUAACUACGUG